GGUUCGGUGGUCUGCUGGCUGUGCCACUCAGGUUUUCACCCUGGGAUACGCGGGUUCGAUUCCCGUCCGAACUA
Molecule: transfer RNA, 74 nt
Filed under: Mycobacterium phage Myrna
Lineage: Duplodnaviria; Heunggongvirae; Uroviricota; Caudoviricetes
Rfam family: tRNA
About the family: Transfer RNA (tRNA) molecules are approximately 80 nucleotides in length.
Source: Rfam by way of RNAcentral